AUGACUAAAUUCUCAAGAUGCAAAUUUGAAUUAAAGAUGAAUAACAUAAGAAUCUUAUACUGGAGGCUGUCUGAUCCAGGCACUAUAACUAUCCACUAUUGUCCUCUAUCCACCUGGCCUCAUCCAUGAAUUAGGUCUAAAAAUAUGGUCACCAGAAGCUUGCCAACUCAUAUGUACCACAUUUGCCACUGGGAGAGGGUGACACAGAAAUGUUCUAAAUUAAGACGGGAAAAAGAAGCCACUCAGAAAAUAUUCUAAUUUUCUCAGCUUUUGGCAGGUUUGUAGCCUGACUGAUCAACUAAAUCUACAUGGUUGAUGAAGGAAAGGAUAUUAGUGGCAGAGCCUCGGCCAAGUGUUGCCCCCUUGCUCCAUUCUUGGUCUAUAAGAAAAUGGCAACUCACAUUCAAAACAAGGUGCAAAGGGAUAUUAGUUUAGAUAAACCA
Molecule: long non-coding RNA, 443 nt
Filed under: Bos taurus (domestic cattle)
Lineage: Eukaryota; Metazoa; Chordata; Mammalia; Artiodactyla; Bovidae
Description: long non-coding RNA NONBTAT020576
Source: RNAcentral